UACAGAGACUGCAAGCGUUAUUCGGAUUCACUGGGCGUAAAGGGUGCGCAGGCGGCCAAGUGUGUGAGGCGUGAAAGCCUGGGGCUUAACUCCAGAAUUGCACCUCAAACUACAUGGCUAGAGCAUUGGAGAGGGUAGCAGAAUUCACGGUGUAGCAGUGAAAUGCGUAGAUAUCGUGAGGAAUAUCAGUGGCGAAGGCGGCUUUCUGGACCAAUACUGACGAUCAGGUGCGAAAGCGUGGGGAGCAAACAGG
RNAcentral lists this ribosomal RNA (253 nucleotides) under uncultured bacterium. RNAcentral describes it as "partial 16S ribosomal RNA". It matches the Rfam family "Bacterial small subunit ribosomal RNA", at positions 524 to 776 of the family's 1533-position model. The record is from RNAcentral.